This 84-nucleotide microRNA precursor is filed under the name Xyrichtys novacula (pearly razorfish). The record is from RNAcentral. Lineage: Eukaryota; Metazoa; Chordata; Actinopteri; Labriformes; Labridae.
GGUAUGGAGUCGGCUGGAAUCCAUGAGACCACCUACAACAGCAUCAUGAAGUGUGACAUCGACAUCCGUAAAGACCUGUACGCC